Molecule: long non-coding RNA, 1779 nt
Organism: Junco hyemalis (dark-eyed junco)
Lineage: Eukaryota; Metazoa; Chordata; Aves; Passeriformes; Passerellidae
Source: Ensembl
GCUUUCAUCUCCUAAAACUCACAUAUUCUGAUUUUCCCUCACAGUGUGUGGAGUAACAGCUGUACAAGUUCUGUUGUCUAGAGACAGAUAAAGAAUUGGACUGGACCAGGCAAGUGAGGGUGAAAAGGGAGAGAAAAAUCAAUGGCCUUAACCUUCAUUUUAUCAAGAUUUUGUAGUAUAUCCCAUCUUUAUUUAGAGAGAUGAUUCAGAUAUUCCUGCACAUUUUUUUCUCACAAUUUCAUUUCCUCUUUGUAUAUUCUUAGGUGAAAAAAACAAACAGAGAAAUCUCACCGAGAGCCAAAGAAACCUGGACUGGUACCAGGAAAUAUCUGGAAACAUGAAAAAAAAAGUCUGUUUUUCUAGUAAUGUUCUUUCUCUGGGCAGUACUUUUGUGUGCCACUAGAUGUCCUGGCAGCAUCAGCCCUUGCACUGCAGCGCAGCUUGAAAAAAACCCACGGACCUGCAAACAUCGCAUCAUUUAUUCUAGGAAACUCCGUGUAUCAUGGAGAAUUGUCGAGGUUGGAUGGAAGGUAUCAGCAGUGUCAGAAAAUCACGAUGGAGGAGCAGCCUGCAGGCACAGCUCAGCACAGAAUGAGCCAGAUUGCCAUUUCAUGGUAAGUUUAUGUUUUGUGAGCCAGGGUACAGGUGGGGAGAGGGGAGGUGAGCAAGACAACACAGAUCAGGGCAGGAACCACUCAGGAUCCAAUUCCACAGUCCCUGGGGAAAGAGAAAAAAGCAGACCCAGGGCUCAGGGCUGGAGGCAGCCAAAAUCCAGGUGAGCUGCUGGGUUCACAGCAAUGAGACAGGGACAAGGCUGAGCUGGGGAGUCCAUCUGCACUUUGCGUGAUGGGAACCAGGGUCAGUCAUGGCCUGAUGAUGGCUGGACUGGUCCAGAGGACAGGGCAGUCUAAGGGGAGGUCAGAUGUGAGCCAGGCUCCGUAGCAGCAGGAUCUACAGCCAGGCACAGCCUGGGCUGGAACUCAGACCCCCUAAAACACGGGGCAAAACAAUUGGGCUUUCAGGCCAGAGUUUCAAUGCAGGGCAGAGGCCCCACGUAAGGCUGGCCAGGGCCAUCAGGGUUUAUCAGGUGUUUAUCAGGUUUUGAUAAGACCCCUCUGGGCUCUGAUAGGGCAUUCAAGAGCACCGCGGUCCCCUGUUGUGUCUGAGCGACCUGAGCAGUGUUGUAACAGCAGAGAGGAAACAGCUGUGAUGAUGGUGAUGGCCUCUAGGAAAGGAGUGUCCCCUUCCUUUCCUGGUGCUGUUUGGGUCCCAGUGUAUGAGAGGUUACAAGCGACAUCCACGUUCCUUAUCUCGGACGUGGAUAAUUCGGGUAGAAUUGUAAAAUCAAAGGGAAGCAGCUGUAAGGGUGGUAACUCUGGGGGGAAAGGUACAUCCUCUUCCCGCUGUGUCCUGGAAGCUGGAAGUGCUUGUCCAGGCUCUGAGAGUUGUGAUUUUUCUUGCUUUGCAUAAGUAAACAAACACAGAGUAAAGAGGUUUCGAUUGAACUGCAGUUUAGGGAUUUAUUGUAUGUACUUUACAUGGUAUCUCAAUCGUUUAGCAGCCAAUCUGGCUGUUUUCAAGGGGGAUUGGGGUUUCCUAAACAAAGUCCUGGCUUUCUAAAAAUGGAAUUGCUUCUAGCUGGGUUUUGGAGCUGAAUCUGGGAGUGUUCUGAAUCAUAACAACAGGGGAGAUAAACAAAGAAUUUACAGGAAUAGGCCCAUAUCUGGAUAGCAGAUCUGCAUGGUCUCGUUCUCAGCCUGGCUGAGGGAAAAUUCCUAC